Molecule: ribosomal RNA, 478 nt
Filed under: uncultured organism
Description: partial 16S ribosomal RNA
Rfam family: Bacterial small subunit ribosomal RNA
Source: RNAcentral
GUACACUCCUGCGGGAGGCAGCAGUGGGGAAUUUUGAACAAUGGGCGAAAGCCUGAUCCAGCAAUGCCGCGUGAGUGAAGAAGGCCUUCGGGUUGUAAAGCUCUUUUGUCAGGGAAGAAACGGUGAAAGCUAAUAUCUUUUGCUAAUGACGGUACCUGAAGAAUAAGCACCGGCUAACUACGUGCCAGCAGCCGCGGUAAUACGUAGGGUGCAAGCGUUAAUCGGAAUUACUGGGCGUAAAGCGUGCGCAGGCGGUUUUGUAAGUCUGAUGUGAAAUCCCCGGGCUCAACCUGGGAAUUGCAUUGGAGACUGCAAGGCUAGAAUCUGGCAGAGGGGGGUAGAAUUCCACGUGUAGCAGUGAAAUGCGUAGAUAUGUGGAGGAACACCGAUGGCGAAGGCAGCCCCCUGGGUCAAGAUUGACGCUCAUGCACGAAAGCGUGGGGAGCAAACAGGAUUAGAUACCCGUGUAGUCCCAUGA